RNAcentral lists this transfer-messenger RNA (353 nucleotides) under Rubellimicrobium sp. CFH 75288. RNAcentral's name for it is "Alphaproteobacteria transfer-messenger RNA". It matches the Rfam family "Alphaproteobacteria transfer-messenger RNA". From Rfam's summary of the family: Bacterial tmRNA, also known as 10Sa RNA or SsrA, is named for its dual tRNA and mRNA-like properties. Its role is to liberate the mRNA from a stalled ribosome. To accomplish this part of the tmRNA is used as a reading frame that ends in a translation stop signal. Lineage: Bacteria; Pseudomonadati; Pseudomonadota; Alphaproteobacteria; Rhodobacterales; Roseobacteraceae. The record is from Rfam by way of RNAcentral.
CCCCUUGAGACGACGCCUCCGCCGCCCUAUCUUGGCGCCGUCCGGCAACGGACUAUGGGCAUAAACGCGCGCGGAAUAAGCGGAUCGGACCCGGGGGCGGUACCCGGCGGCUCCACCAGAUACCUCUCGUUGGGGGGACCAGGGGGCCGAAACAGGAUCGACGACCGUGUAAAGGCGUGGCUUUGUCCCGGUGAGGUACCACCGUUAUCGGUCCAAAACGCAUAGUUGCCAACGACAACCGUGCUCCGGCGAUGGCCCUCGCCGCCUAACGGCGGAAAGGUCCAGAGCCAAAGUCCCGGGGAAUAAGCCCCUCGGGCGGGGUCCGCAGGCACCUGGCAACAGAAGCCUGCACU